GACGAACGCUGGCGGCGUGCCUAACACAUGCAAGUCGAACGAGAAUCAAUUGAACAGAGGCUUCGGCCGACGGAAUUUUGAGGAAAGUGGCGAACGGGUGAGUAACGCGUGAGAAACCUGCCUUUCAGUGGGGGACAACAGUUGGAAACGACUGCUAAUACCGCAUAAUGUAUUUUAGGGGCAUCCCUUUAAUACCAAAGAUUUAUUGCUGAAAGAUGGUCUCGCGUCUGAUUAGCUAGUUGGUGGGGUAACGGCUCACCAAGGCGACGAUCAGUAGCCGGUCUGAGAGGAUGAACGGCCACAUUGGGACUGAGAUACGGCCCAGACUCCUACGGGAGGCAGCAGUGGGGAAUAUUGGGCAAUGGGGGAAACCCUGACCCAGCAACGCCGCGUGAAGGAAGAAGGCCUUCGGGUUGUAAACUUCUUUAGUAGGACGAAGAACGUAGACGGUACCUACAGAAAAAGAC
This 467-nucleotide ribosomal RNA is filed under the name uncultured bacterium. RNAcentral describes it as "bacterial SSU rRNA". It matches the Rfam family "Bacterial small subunit ribosomal RNA", at positions 28 to 492 of the family's 1533-position model. The record is from RNAcentral.